This 468-nucleotide ribosomal RNA is filed under the name uncultured bacterium. RNAcentral describes it as "partial 16S ribosomal RNA". It matches the Rfam family "Bacterial small subunit ribosomal RNA", at positions 28 to 507 of the family's 1533-position model. The record is from RNAcentral.
GACGAACGCUGGCGGCGUGCUUAACACAUGCAAGUCGAACGGAAAGGCCCUGCUUUUGUGGGGUGCUCGAGUGGCGAACGGGUGAGUAACACGUGAGUAACCUGCCCUUGACUUUGGGAUAACUUCAGGAAACUGGGGCUAAUACCGGAUAGGAGCUCCUGCUGCAUGGUGGGGGUUGGAAAGUUUCGGCGGUUGGGGAUGGACUCGCGGCUUAUCAGCUUGUUGGUGGGGUAGUGGCUUACCAAGGCUUUGACGGGUAGCCGGCCUGAGAGGGUGACCGGCCACCUUGGGACUGCGGUACGGCCCAGAAUCCUACGGGAGGCAGCAGUGGGGAAUAUGGCACAAUGGGCGGACGCCUGAUGCAGCAACGCCGCGUGCGGGAUGCAGGCGUUCGGGUUGUAAACCGCUUUCGCCUGUGACGAAGCGUGAGUGACGGUACUGGGUAAAAAAGCACCGGCUAACUACGUG